This 1314-nucleotide ribosomal RNA is filed under the name Escherichia coli. RNAcentral's name for it is "partial 23S ribosomal RNA". It matches the Rfam family "Bacterial large subunit ribosomal RNA", at positions 418 to 1734 of the family's 2925-position model. The record is from RNAcentral. Lineage: Bacteria; Pseudomonadati; Pseudomonadota; Gammaproteobacteria; Enterobacterales; Enterobacteriaceae.
CGGGACACGUGGUAUCCUGUCUGAAUAUGGGGGGACCAUCCUCCAAGGCUAAAUACUCCUGACUGACCGAUAGUGAACCAGUACCGUGAGGGAAAGGCGAAAAGAACCCCGGCGAGGGGAGUGAAAAAGAACCUGAAACCGUGUACGUACAAGCAGUGGGAGCACGCUUAGGCGUGUGACUGCGUACCUUUUGUAUAAUGGGUCAGCGACUUAUAUUCUGUAGCAAGGUUAACCGAAUAGGGGAGCCGAAGGGAAACCGAGUCUUAACUGGGCGUUAAGUUGCAGGGUAUAGACCCGAAACCCGGUGAUCUAGCCAUGGGCAGGUUGAAGGUUGGGUAACACUAACUGGAGGACCGAACCGACUAAUGUUGAAAAAUUAGCGGAUGACUUGUGGCUGGGGGUGAAAGGCCAAUCAAACCGGGAGAUAGCUGGUUCUCCCCGAAAGCUAUUUAGGUAGCGCCUCGUGAAUUCAUCUCCGGGGGUAGAGCACUGUUUCGGCAAGGGGGUCAUCCCGACUUACCAACCCGAUGCAAACUGCGAAUACCGGAGAAUGUUAUCACGGGAGACACACGGCGGGUGCUAACGUCCGUCGUGAAGAGGGAAACAACCCAGACCGCCAGCUAAGGUCCCAAAGUCAUGGUUAAGUGGGAAACGAUGUGGGAAGGCCCAGACAGCCAGGAUGUUGGCUUAGAAGCAGCCAUCAUUUAAAGAAAGCGUAAUAGCUCACUGGUCGAGUCGGCCUGCGCGGAAGAUGUAACGGGGCUAAACCAUGCACCGAAGCUGCGGCAGCGACGCUUAUGCGUUGUUGGGUAGGGGAGCGUUCUGUAAGCCUGCGAAGGUGUGCUGUGAGGCAUGCUGGAGGUAUCAGAAGUGCGAAUGCUGACAUAAGUAACGAUAAAGCGGGUGAAAAGCCCGCUCGCCGGAAGACCAAGGGUUCCUGUCCAACGUUAAUCGGGGCAGGGUGAGUCGACCCCUAAGGCGAGGCCGAAAGGCGUAGUCGAUGGGAAACAGGUUAAUAUUCCUGUACUUGGUGUUACUGCGAAGGGGGGACGGAGAAGGCUAUGUUGGCCGGGCGACGGUUGUCCCGGUUUAAGCGUGUAGGCUGGUUUUCCAGGCAAAUCCGGAAAAUCAAGGCUGAGGCGUGAUGACGAGGCACUACGGUGCUGAAGCAACAAAUGCCCUGCUUCCAGGAAAAGCCUCUAAGCAUCAGGUAACAUCAAAUCGUACCCCAAACCGACACAGGUGGUCAGGUAGAGAAUACCAAGGCGCUUGAGAGAACUCGGGUGAAGGAACUAGGCAAAAUGGUGCCGUAAC